AUAGUUAUCUGGCAGAGGAGAUACCAUGAUCAUGAAGCUAGUUUUUUCAGGGUUUGGUUUAUCCAUUGUACUCCAGAUAUAUUGACCCUUGUGAUUUUCCCAAAUGUUGGACUUGACUGCAUAAUUUAUGGCAGUGGGGGGGGGGGGACUGUGUUUGAGCUUUA
Arvicola amphibius (Eurasian water vole) is the source of this 164-nucleotide small nuclear RNA. RefSeq annotates it as U1 spliceosomal RNA. The record is from RefSeq and is a predicted model, not a curated record. The transcript has a single exon. NCBI's taxonomy places the organism in Eukaryota, Metazoa, Chordata, Mammalia, Rodentia, Cricetidae.